Molecule: non-coding RNA, 85 nt
Organism: Mycena galopus ATCC 62051
Lineage: Eukaryota; Fungi; Basidiomycota; Agaricomycetes; Agaricales; Mycenaceae
Source: the annotation of a GenBank genome assembly
GGUUGUGUAGUGUAGCGGUUAUCACUCCAGAUUCUGAUGGCAUCUUGGAGUUCUGGCAACCCCGGUUCGAUUCCGGGCACGACCU